This 74-nucleotide transfer RNA is filed under the name Saprospiraceae bacterium. RNAcentral's name for it is "tRNA-His". It matches the Rfam family "tRNA". Rfam says of the family: Transfer RNA (tRNA) molecules are approximately 80 nucleotides in length. Their secondary structure includes four short double-helical elements and three loops (D, anti-codon, and T loops). Further hydrogen bonds mediate the characteristic L-shaped molecular structure. tRNAs have two regions of fundamental functional importance: the anti-codon, which is responsible for specific mRNA codon recognition, and the 3' end, to which the tRNAs corresponding amino acid is attached (by aminoacyl-tRNA synthetases). tRNAs cope with the degeneracy of the genetic code in two manners: having more than one tRNA (with a specific anti-codon) for a particular amino acid; and 'wobble' base-pairing, i.e. permitting non-standard base-pairing at the 3rd anti-codon position. Lineage: Bacteria; Pseudomonadati; Bacteroidota; Saprospiria; Saprospirales; Saprospiraceae. The record is from RNAcentral.
GUGGCUGUAGCUCAGUUGGUUAGAGCACCAGAUUGUGGUUCUGGGGGUCGUGGGUUCAAUUCCCAUCAGCCACC